Molecule: ribosomal RNA, 921 nt
Filed under: Globisporangium longisporangium
Lineage: Eukaryota; Oomycota; Peronosporomycetes; Pythiales; Pythiaceae
Description: eukaryotic LSU rRNA
Rfam family: 5.8S ribosomal RNA (bases 238-392)
Source: RNAcentral
CCACACCUAAAAACUCUCCACGUGAACUGUUUGUAUCAGAUUAGCGCCAAGAUUUUCGUGCGUGUUUGUGGUAUCACUAUGUAUUCGUACGUGGUGUUAGCAAGCAUUGUAUGGAGCUUGGCUGAUCGAAGGUCGGUGCGCACCUUGUGUGUGUAUUGGCUGAUUAACCUUUUAAACCCUUUCAAUAAAUACUGAUUAUACUGUAAGGACGAAAGUCUUUGCUUUUAUCUAGAUAACAACUUUCAGCAGUGGAUGUCUAGGCUCGCACAUCGAUGAAGAACGCUGCGAACUGCGAUACGUAAUGCGAAUUGCAGAAUUCAGUGAGUCAUCGAAAUUUUGAACGCAUAUUGCACUUUCGGGUUAUACCUGGAAGUAUGUCUGUAUCAGUGUCCGUACAUCAAACUUGCCUCUUUUUGUCGGUGUAGUCCGAUUGAGAGUAUGGCAGACGUGAGGUGUCUCGCGACUCGUAUAUCAUUGUGUGUGUAAAUCGUAAGAGAUACAUACAUAAGGUAGUAUAUAACUUGUUGCGAGUCCCUUUAAAACGACACGAUCUUUCUAUUUGCUUUCUAUGGAGCGUCUAUUUCGAACGCGGUGGUCCUYGGAUCGCUUGCAGUCGGCAGCGACUUCAGUGAAGACAUAGUGAAGAAACCUCUAUUCGCGGUACGUUAGGCUUCGGCUCGACAAUGUUGCGUUCUAGUGUGUGGACUCCGUUUUCGCUUUGAGGUGUACUGUUCGGUUGUGGGUUUGAGCCUUGGUAUUGCUUUGUUAGUAGAGAUAUGUCGAUAUUUCUGUAGUUUGAUUCUGCAUACACGCAAGUGUGUGUGGGUAGAGAGUAUCUAUUUGGGAAAUUUUGUACUGCGUGCGCUUUCGAGUGUGUGUAUGUAUCUCAAUUGGACCUGAUAUCAGACAAGACUACCCGCU